UGCUCCUGCUGCUGAGGAGGAGGAUGAGGCUGCUCCUGCUGCUGAGGAGGAGGAGGACGAUGACGAGGCUGCUCCUGCAACUGAGAAGAUAGACAAGGAAGCUCCUAGAGAAGAGGAGCAGGCUUCUAUUGCUAAGGACGUAGAGGAAAAAUCUCCUGCAGAGCAGCAGGCAACUGUGGCAUUGGAAGAACGUUCUCCUGUUGAAGAGGAGCCUGCUGCUGCAGAAGAUAACGUGUUAGAUUUGGAGGCAUCACAUAGAUGGGCACAUCACUUAGAUGGGAAGCCUGUCGAACAGGUGGACUCUGCUGUCACAAAGAAGGUAUUGGAGGAAGAUCAGGAAGACUUGGAUGAGGCGGCGGCAGAGGAGGUGGUUGAGGAAGUAGAAGGGCAAGAUGAAGCUGAAGAGGAGCCAGAGGAUGACCAGUCUGUGGACAAAGAACAACAACCCAAAGAUGUGACAUUUUCAGAGGAGGAAUUGUGAAUGUAAGCAGCGAGUGCAGUGUUCCACAAACACCAAAGUCACGGGGGGUAAUGGACACCUUCAACAAGCAUCAUGACAAAUUCCAAGGCUCUGCCGAAGUUGGCAUGGAAACGUGCGGCGCAUUGAAUAUUUCUCUGCAAGUAAAACGUCAGGUCAAUAGAAUUCAGUAAGCUCUCUGAAAUGUGUUGUCACCUCAACGAGUGUGCGUAUGAGAGGGCUAACUGGUCACGCAGUCGUUGCCAAUGUUCAGGUUUCACCUGCCAAUACUCCAAGAAGCCUUAACCAAUGUUACCAGCGUGGCCAUCUUUUGUGCACGUUCAAAGUUUUUGUGAUGGUUCAGUUCUGGCUGACUUCAUUGUGAUAGGGAGAAAACUAAACGGCGAUCGAAAAAAAUGUAUUCACUCUCACAAUCAUGAACAAUUUAGCAAAGCCAUACAAUGUGCCUGUCUUGCUGGCAUGAAAAUGUCAUUGUCUAAAACCAGUGUGUGUGGGGUGGGGUGGGGGGGACUGGUAAGGGAUAUAGAACUAAGAGUCACUAAAUGUACGUUACUGUAUCCUAAUUGUUUACACAGGCAAAACAGCCUACUAAAGCAAUAGAGGUGGUAAUGGUGGGAUCUGUGAAAUGUAUAUUUUCUGGCAGUUUCACUAAUGGUAAUUUAGAGUGUAGUAUUUCUUUUUUACUGACUUAUUUUGACUUGACACAAAGUGCACUGUUCCUACGAUGGUGUGGUUUCUUAUUUAGUCUUAUCACAACACACUGUACUGCUCAUCUUAGAACUCUAUGAUGUACUUUUAUAAAAUAAAUCCUCUGUAGUUUUUUACUCUGAA
This is a long non-coding RNA of Esox lucius (northern pike), 1309 nucleotides long. RefSeq lists it as uncharacterized. The record is from RefSeq and is a predicted model, not a curated record. NCBI's taxonomy places the organism in Eukaryota, Metazoa, Chordata, Actinopteri, Esociformes, Esocidae. The transcript is spliced from 2 exons.